GAUGAACGCUAGCUACAGGCUUAACACAUGCAAGUCGCGGGGCAGCAUGGGGGUUGCUUGCAAUCCCCGAUGGCGACCGGCGCACGGGUGAGUAACGCGUAUCCAACCUGCCCUUCACCACGGGAUAACCCGGCGAAAGUCGGACUAAUACCGUAUGUUGUCCAUUGACGGCACCCGAUUUGGACGAAAGGUUUGGCGGUGAAGGAUGGGGAUGCGUUCGAUUAGCUGGACGGCGGGGUGACGGCCCACCGUGGCGACGAUCGGUAGGGGUUCGGAGAGGAAGGUCCCCCACACUGGAACUGAGACACGGUCCAGACUCCUACGGGAGGCAGCAGUGAGGAAUAUUGGGCAAUGGGCGUAAGCCUGAACCAGCCAAGUAGCGUGCAGGAGGACGGCCCUAUGGGUUGUAAACUGCUUUUAUGCGGGGAUAAAGUGGCCCACGUGUGGGUUUUUGCAGGUACCGCAUGAAUAAGGACCGGCUAAUUCCGUG
This 490-nucleotide ribosomal RNA is filed under the name uncultured bacterium. RNAcentral describes it as "partial 16S ribosomal RNA". It matches the Rfam family "Bacterial small subunit ribosomal RNA", at positions 28 to 507 of the family's 1533-position model. The record is from RNAcentral.